CAAGUCGAGCGGAUGAAGGGAGCUUGCUCCUGGAUUCAGCGGCGGACGGGUGAGUAAUGCCUAGGAAUCUGCCUGGUAGUGGGGGAUAACGUCCGGAAACGGGCGCUAAUACCGCAUACGUCCUGAGGGAGAAAGUGGGGGAUCUUCGGACCUCACGCUAUCAGAUGAGCCUAGGUCGGAUUAGCUAGUUGGUGGGGUAAAGGCCUACCAAGGCGACGAUCCGUAACUGGUCUGAGAGGAUGAUCAGUCACACUGGAACUGAGACACGGUCCAGACUCCUACGGGAGGCAGCAGUGGGGAAUAUUGGACAAUGGGCGAAAGCCUGAUCCAGCCAUGCCGCGUGUGUGAAGAAGGUCUUCGGAUUGUAAAGCACUUUAAGUUGGGAGGAAGGGCAGUAAGUUAAUACCUUGCUGUUUUGACGUUACCAACAGAAUAAGCACCGGCUAACUUCGUGCCAGCAGCCGCGGUAAUACGAAGGGUGCAAGCGUUAAUCGGAAUUACUGGGCGUAAAGCGCGCGUAGGUGGUUCAGCAAGUUGGAUGUGAAAUCCCCGGGCUCAACCUGGGAACUGCAUCCAAAACUACUGAGCUAGAGUACGGUAGAGGGUGGUGGAAUUUCCUGUGUAGCGGUGAAAUGCGUAGAUAUAGGAAGGAACACCAGUGGCGAAGGCGACCACCUGGACUGAUACUGACACUGAGGUGCGAAAGCGUGGGGAG
RNAcentral lists this ribosomal RNA (715 nucleotides) under Pseudomonas aeruginosa. Its description in RNAcentral is "bacterial SSU rRNA". It matches the Rfam family "Bacterial small subunit ribosomal RNA", at positions 58 to 768 of the family's 1533-position model. The record is from RNAcentral. Lineage: Bacteria; Pseudomonadati; Pseudomonadota; Gammaproteobacteria; Pseudomonadales; Pseudomonadaceae.